RNAcentral lists this long non-coding RNA (9782 nucleotides) under Sorghum bicolor (sorghum). RNAcentral's name for it is "long non-coding RNA (SBIC_LNC004085)". The record is from RNAcentral. Lineage: Eukaryota; Viridiplantae; Streptophyta; Magnoliopsida; Poales; Poaceae.
UCCUGCUCCCCGCUGGCCUCCGGGAGCUCCUCUCGCCCACGACGAUCCACCACCGGACGCCGCCGAUGGGUGCUGCCGACGACGGAACAACGUCGACCGGCGGCGGCGAGGUCCUCCUCCACCCGCUGGUGCUGGUGCCCGGGCUGACCUGCAACGAGCUGGAGGCGCGGCUCACGGACGCCUACCGCCCCUCCGUGCCGCGGUGCGGCGCGAUGAAGGGGAAGGGCUGGUUCGGGCUCUGGGCCAACUGCUCCGACCUGCCCGCGCACCACUACGUGCAGUGCUUCCUCGAGCAGAUGACCCUCGUCUACGACCCCGUCGCAAACGACUACCGGAACCUCCCCGGCGUCGAGACGCGCGUGCGAAGCUUCGGCUCCACCCGAGGCUUCCAGAGGAACCCGGAGCACACGUACGUACUGAACUGUAUCGUCCAUUGCCCAUCCAUGACGAAUAGGAGUAGCUCGUGACGACUGACUGCAUGGCUCUGAACGCAGGACCUGGUGCUUCGAGGUCCUCAGACACGAGCUGGAAAGGGCCGGGUACCGCGACGGCGACACCCUGUUCGCUGCCCAGUACGACCUCCGCUACGCCCCGCCGGUGCCCGGCCAGUCAUCGGAGGUCUUCUCCCGCUACUUCCGGCGGCUGACGAGGCUCAUCGAGGACGCAAGCGAGAAGAACGCAAACAAGAAGGUGAUCCUCUUCGGGCACAGCUUCGGUGGCAUGGUGGCGCUGGAGUUCGUGCGGAGCACUCCCAUGGCGUGGCGGAACAGGUACAUCAAGCACCUCAUCCUCGCCGCUCCGGUGCCGGCGGAAGGGGUCGUGGUGGCGCUGCAGUACUUCGUCUCCGGUUCCGACCUGAUGUACAUCCCCACGGUCACCCAGCUCGAGCUGACUCUGAGGCCGAUGUGGAGGAGCUUCGAGUCCUCCAUCGUCAACUUCCCGUCCCCGGCGGUGUUCGGGGACAGGCCGCUCGUGGUCACCGCGCAGAGGAACUACUCCGCCUACGACGUCGAGGAUCUCCUCGCCGCCGCCGGCUUCAGCGCCGGCGUGGAGCCUUUCAGGAGACGAGCGGUACCGAAGAUGAACUACUUCCAGGCCCCCAUGGUGCCGACGACGUGCAUCAACGGAGUGGGCAAUAACGACACGCCGGAGCAGCUCGUCUACUGGGACGGCGACUUCGACGCGGAACCUGAGAUAGUGUACGGCGACGGGGACAAUACCAUUAAUUUGAUCAGCAUGCUGGCGUUCGACGAGAAGAUGCGUCGGCAGCCGGAACAGAACAAGCUGUACAAGUCGAUUAAGCUUCAUGGGGCUGAGCACGGUACUAUUGUGACUGAGGACUGGGCGCUCAAGCGGGUCAUGCAAGAAAUCCUCGAAGCCAAUCGUAUUUAAUUAAUUUAUGAAUUUAUUUAUUGUAGACUCUAGCGAUUUUUUAAUAAAACAAUAUAUUUAUUUGCAAUAGUGUCGAGUUUGUAUGGAUAUAUAGGAGCAGUAACCAUAUUUUUUAGUGUCGAAAAUACGAAGCACAGAACAAAACCCUCAGACAGAACCGGUCAGUCAUGCAUGCUACUGGUUCACUAGUCCAGGUAUGAGUUUAUCGGUUAAGCUAGUUGUUAGAGUCAGGGGUGGAUCGAGGACGUGGACAAAGAGAGAGGCUAAAUAUUAAAGAUUUAAGACUAGAGCUAGAGAUUAAUGGUGAUUUGAGGCUAAGCAACAUUGAUUUAAUGGAGAAAUCAGGCUCACGAGGGGAGGCUGCAGCUCCCCAGCCCUCCAUGUGGAUCCGCCCCUGGUUAGAGCAACUCCAGUAGGGCCCCUUCUUAAGCUCUAUAGCUAAAUAUCUCUUACGGCACAUUUACUAGAGCACCCAAAUUUAGGUGGGCACAAAAAUCCCCCACCCCCCUUCGUCACCCAUUCCUGGAGCUCUAGGUCAAGCCUCCAAAUCAUCAUUGGUGUACUAUUUUCACUCGUGUGUCUUCGUUUUUAUCGGUGCGCUUGUCCCUUCUUCCGCUCGCGUCGCCGUUCUUCAGCAGCUGUGGAGCUCGACAUAGAAGACGCCUCAAUGAUCACUCUGGUUCGAUCCUCUAGUCCGAUCCGCUAGGGGCUCCACGUAGAAGAGCUCGGGUAGAAGCUAGGGAGCCCACGGAGAGAGGCGCUCGUGGAAUCUCCAGUCCGAUCUGGUGGGGGUGCGAGGACGACCGAAGAGAGCUACGUUGAAGAGCCUGGACGCAUUUGAAGAAACAGAGGGGUGGCCAGGGAGGAGCGUGCCGCACCAAGGAGGGGGUGCCGCAUCGGGGAGUGACAUGGGGCAAGCGGGGGAGGAUGCACCGCCUAGAGUCAAUGCGGGGUGGGCCGGUGAGGACGCUCCGUCGGUAGUCGUGCGACGGGACGUCGUCUGGAGUUGCGCGAUGGGGCGUUCCUCACGGAGGAGUUGCGGCCACGCGUGGAGAAGCAGCGGGCCAUGGAAGGGAGGUGUAGGGAACUCGCGACAGACAUGACCGUGUGGCGCCGGAGCAAUGGCAGCACAUCAUGAGCUAGAGUAAGUCGCGGCCAAGUCUUCGGCACUGGACAAGGGCGAGCCGGCGUUGUGGGUUAAUUCCAAGCGCGCGAGGGAAAAACAACCCAACAUCCGGCUGAGCCCAAAAUAGGUAUCAAAUGUAGAAUUUGGGUGCCCUUCCAAAUUUUGGAUGACCAUAGGAUCCUACUGAAGCAUGUUUUUUGUAUGAGAGCUAUAUGAAAGCUUAAGUAGAAGGCUAGCUAGAGUUACUCUAAGAGCAUCUCCAAAGGCCUCUCCAAAUCAGUUUUGCAUUUGAGGUUAUUUGCAAAGUCUCAAAAGAAAAUGCAAAGCCUAAAAAGAUGCCUAUUCCAAGGGCCUUUGCAAAAUUGACUUGGCAUUCUCAAUUUGGAUCCGGCAGCGAGUUUUUUUUUCUUUCGCGCGCUGCUUGUUGCGUUUCGCGCGUCCUCGCCGCCGUCGUGUUUGCUGCGGAAAAAACAAACAGGGCGCCGCGAAGUUCCAGGUCGAGUUCGCCGCCGGUUGUUGCUGUCCCGUCUCCCGUGGUCGUCGUCGAGAUCGUCCCAGUUCCAGUUCGUCCCAGUUGCCGUUCCCGUUCGUCCCUGUAACAGAACCGACCAAAUUAUAAGAGAUUAAGCCUAAUAGUGACCAUUUGCAUAGUCGAACUAUCACGCUUAAGCCCAUAUAAUCCCGGUAGUCCGUGAAAUCUCGAUGGAUUUCAAACCACACAUCACAUAACAGCCAAGAUCGUAAUAAGUUCAGCGGUCGCCAUCCACAAGUACAUCCAGAUUUCAACAUUCAUAAAAUACAUCGGAGUGCUUAAAGUUAUUACAAACCAAGUUCUUCAAGUAGCGGAAGCUUCAUAGUUUGAAAUUACAACACACACGAUAAGUCUGAUAUAGUGCCAUAGUGCGGUCAUUCCACAAAAGCAAAAGAAGAGACGGAGUGACCAUCGCCCUUGGUCUAGUCAUCACCCAUAGCUGGGUACAGACAGAGGAUGCAAUAACCAUAGUACAUUUGACCAUCUGCAAAACAACAUGGGAAUAGAACCCUGAGUACGAGAAGGUACUCAGCUAGACUUACCCGUCAUAAACUUAAAAUAAAGACUCAUCAAGGAUCAUGAAGGCUAUAUAGUGGGAUAGCUGACGACCAUUUUGCAAAACCGCAGUAUUUUGCUAACAUAACCUACAUAAGUCUUUCUUCUUUUAAUUGGCUCAAGUUGAAAGUAUCAUUACCUAUCGUCUAGGUUUGCACCUGCACUAUUACAAGCAAGUAGGAGACUAUGAUAGUACCUCAUCAUAGCAUUUCUUAAAACUAUUCAUCAUUAUAACCUAAGUGUUCCAUAGUCCUUACUACGAGGACAGGGCUCAUGUCAAGUGCUCACUAUCCAGGAGCGAUGGCGAUUCGAAUCGAUUUCUAACCAGCUGGCGAGGUAUUCCCCACACAAACCACACUCACUGAUCAAGUGAGCUACAGAUCACCGUAUUACACUAUCCAGGACCAAUUCGCGGGUUCGGCAGGCACCGCCAGUACCCGAGGACCGUUCCGGCGACCGAGGUAUCCAAGGUAUACCAAGGUUGCGCGCCGCGCCCUCGUCGUUCUCCUCAACCACCACCAAUACAGCGCAUGGCGGCUCGAUUCCCGGCCCGGAUAGUGCUCAGGUUUCGCGGUCGGAACGACUUAUCCUUCCAGCUAAAUGUGGGGCAUGCGUUCAACAUGACAAGAGGGCCGUCAACGAUCGGUCCUUAAUCGACACAGGCAGGGGCUCUAUGGGCAACCCACCAUAAGACCCUGCCCGGUCUCCAAUUACAGUUCACACUUGGUUAUUUCUUUCCCCAAGCAACCACUGCUUAAUCAAGCAGGUAUCCACCUAUAUCUCGCAGGUGACAGGGCAUCACCCGACUUCUACCGGACUAAGCAAGCUAAGCAUAGACUCCGCGCCUAUCUACAUAGGACAAGGUAGAUAAACGAGUAGGGAUGACAAGGAGUACAUAUGCAGCAACGGUAUCAGGCAACUCCUAUCACUUAAUAUGCAAUACAGUAGAACAGGUAUAACACUUUAUAUAAGUUAGCGAGAAUAGGGAGACUUAGAAUGCUCCGGGGCUUGCCUUUCUCAAAGGUGCUGGGUCGGUGAUCCGGACACUCUUGCAAUUCCUCUCCGGUUUCCUGUGCUUCCGGAGGUUCCUGCUCCUGUAUCUCCUCGGGUUCCUCGGGUCCCACUUCGUUCUCCUACGAGCCUGUAUGAUGCAUAUAUGCUCAUGAGUGGAGUGCUAGAUGCCCGAGUGGAUGCUUGUACGAGAAAGUACCAAAGGAGUCAUGUUAUGAUGCAUAGGUAACACACUUGGUCAUGCUUAUUACAAGGUAGUCAACAUCAUCCAAGAAUAAACAAUUGAAUCAAACAUCUAUUACAUUCUCUUCUAUAAUUAUUUUUCAAAUGCAACCAGCAACCUCCAUGAUGCUUCAAAGAUACACCAAACCCAACUUAUUCCAUUCAACCUAUAUAUACAACCAUUCAUAGUUUUCUGUAUUCAUUUCUAAGCCCAUUAAAAAUGACAUGCAAUUCUGUUCAUCAAUAAAUUCCAUAGAAAUUACAGGAGACUUCCAGCUAAGCAUAGAGUUUACUGAAAAUUUUUCAUAAUUUUUGGAUACUUAUUUUGAGCCACAAAAAUCACAAGAUUAAUUAAUAAGGCAAGUAAAAUCACCCUACUGUGAUAUAAGUGUCAAACAACAGAUUUCAUAUUUUUACAAUUUAUCUAAUAUCAUAAGAAACAACCCCAAAAUUUUCCAGAUUUAUUGCAUGACCCAUUUAAUUAUUAAAAAUCAUAAAGCACUGCCAUGCAAGCAUUUAAAUUACCAUAAAUUCAUUUAUACACCAAAUAAUAUGUAACAAUAUUUUCUCAGUGAUUAAACACACAUGCAGAGCCAGCAAAACAAGUUUUACAUUUUUCUGAACCCUAUUUUAUUUACUAUGCAUUUUCCAAGUUUAGGAAAAACAUGGAUUAAUUAUAUUCUUACAGGAAAGUUACUCAAACAUGACAUGCAAUCAUACUUGGCUAUAGAUCUGGAAAUAAGGAACACACCAAAAUUUAUUUCACCAUUUUUGGAGCUAUAUUCAUCAAGAUAUGGAUUUUUGAACAUUUAAAUCAUUUCCUGGAAAAACUUUUAAAACGGAAAACCACCUAAAACACUAAACGCACCCGGAUCCAUUCCCUCGGAGUCACUGACAGGCGGGACACGUGAGUCAGAGGACCCCACCUGUCAUCCACCCCGUGACCCUGCUAGGUGCACCCGGUGCAGUGCACCCGCGGCCGCUGACGAGCGGACCCGCCUGCCAGCCGGGCCCGCUGGCCAGGACACCGAGAGGGGGGAGGAUCCCCGACGACGGCUCGCCGCCGGUGAUGCCUCUCGGCCGGAACCAACGGCACCAACACGUUUGCCUCCCUCUUGCGACUCGAUUCCACCCCUUUACUCGCCCUGAAACCCCGCACAGCGAGUUGGCCACCGGCAAUGGCGGACCGGCGGCGCUGCCGCAGCGGUGCCGGCCACCACGCUCCGGUAGAGCGCUCGAGUGCGGCUUCUCGUGACUCAGGGAGCCACGACGACCAUGAUGUGCGCGCUAGCGAGGCAAGAGAGGUUCGGGAGGGGGAAAACCAGCGAUGCCGACGCCGCGGAGAGCUCCGGCGAGGCCGCGGACUCUCCAGCGAGCGAUUCGGCUCGCUAGAACCGCUCACCUGCGCGAAGAAACUACGUCCGAGCACGCGGAGAUGAAUGCGGAGCUCGGAGAGGUGGAAGGAGGCGCUGAGAGGCGACGAAGUGCCGAGAACACGGCGAGCGGAGCUCGGGGAGCUCUAAUGGCGAGCGGCGGCACGGUGCGCGCGGAGAGGAGGCAGGAGAGCGCGAGAGAGAGCGAGGGGGCGCGCACCGGGUGGAGGAGAGAAUGGCGAGGGAGGUGGCGCUGUCCGCAGCGGAGGGGGGGGGUCGUGGCGCCGGCGAGCACCGCAUGCCGUCCACGCGGCGCCGUCGGCCUGACGCGGUCGGGCGCGCGCGGCGCGGCCGUGUCCGAGCGCGCGCGGGGAGGAGGUGGACGCGGCGCGGUCGGCCUGGGCUGGCUUCGCUGGCUGGGCCGGUUGGUUGGCGCCGGCCCGCCAGUGAACAGCUCCCCCUUUCUUUUUUUUUUGAAAUUCUUUUUCCAAAUUCCUUUCUAAAAUUACUUGGACCAGCCAAAAAGCAUUUUCACCUCUUGCUCCCAAAAACAAAAUUGUUCCAAAUUAAAAACUCUACAACUUUGCUUUAACAAGCAAGACCAAAUUCCAAACAAAAUUUGAAUUACAAGUUAAAACUUAGUUCUAGAUUUUAAUUAAAUUCUUUUUGGAUAUUUUUGUAUAAAUUCCAUUUCUCAAAUUCUAUAGCUCCAAAAAUUGCACAAAAAUGUUCUUAAUUCUUCUUACACAUAAAGCAACCUAAUUUGAAUAUUUCACAAUUUUAGAAACAAGCAUCACAUUUUUAACAUAAUUAAAGCACAUGAAAUGAAGCACAUAAAAUCAUAAUUUGAAAAGAGUGUCAUGCUCAUGAUGCUUAUGCUUGAUGGAAAUGCUUAUGCAUGACUUUGGUGAGACUAAGUGCAUGCUUAACACCUAGGGUGUUACAGUCCCGAAGUUCAUCAAGACGUCGCGAAGUUCCAGUUCAUCCCAGGUCGCUGCUGCCUUCGACGGCUUCUAGAUCGAAGUUGCUGCUGGUGACGAUGCUGCCGCCGACUCCAUCAAACAGGCUUGCACUGCGGCUCGCCAAGGUUUGUUGUGCGUGAAUUCUUGUGUCCGUCCAUUAAUUUUUUGUAUUUUGUUCAAUGUUGUGAGGCGCGUAAUUGUUCUCAGCUGCGGCGGAAGAGGGCUUCCAGAUCACGUCUCCGGAGACAAUUGGAUGACGAGUCUUCAGAAGACGAUGACUUUUUUAUGUGCGCAGCUGCUCGGAUUUUGCACAAAUAUUCUAGUAAAAAACAAAGACAUGCUGUCAUUCAUCAUUAGUACCACUGAACUCAAUGUCCUGCGUCAGCGAAAAAUUCAAGUUCAAAUCCAGACCCAAUGCAACAUCACUCGGAUCAGCGUCUGAUGUGAGUAUGCCGGUAUAGUAUCCAACGUCCUCCAUUACAAAGUAAUCUGCUAAUGGAAAGAACAACCCAUGUCACUAGAUGAAGAAAAAUUUAACAUAUCAAAAAAUUAACAUCUUCUUUACAUAGGCAUUCAGGUUUCUAUUCAACAUGAAAAAUAAAAGACAAUCGAUGCAACGCCAUCAAUAGAGACCACAAAUAUUGCAAAAAAUUUAACAUAUCAACAAAUUAACAUCUUCUUUACAUAGGCAUUCAGGUUUCUAUUCAACAUGAAAAAUAAAACACAAUCGAUGCCACACCAUCAAUAGAGACCACAAAUAUUGCAAAAAAUUUAACAUAUCAAAAAAUUAACAUCUACUGAUCGGCCAUAUCAAGGCAUCACAUCACAACCAUGUGUAGGCAAUAAACCCUAGCAGAAAUCCAUAGCUACGAUCACAACCAUAAAAAGGCCUAGAGGGGUUCCAGAAAGCGGGUUCGUGAACGAAAUCCACACCGUCCGGUUUGAGUUGCGUGAAGCCGGAGUUGCCUGAAGCCGCGUCCUCGAUCUUGCCUGCUGUAUGCGCGCCGUGGAGACCCUGGAGCCACGGCCACCUGGAGACGUCGGGCAGCCGCACGAAGCCGGAGUUGCCUGAAGCCGCGUCCGCUGCGUGCCCGCAGCGCCGGCGAUACGACGAGUCGUCAGGCGAGAGAGAUCGAGUCCGCUGAUUGCGUCCACGGAUCACGCGAGAGAGAUAGAGGACAGGGGGUCGCGGCGGCCACGGAGUCGGGCGCGAGUCCGCGCGAGACGAGGACCGGGCGACCGAAUCAGCGCGGGAGGAGAUUUUGCCAAACCCAGAGUCCUCUGCAUAAAUGCUAAGUUGGGAGGAAGAUUUGCAAAGUUUGCACAAAUGCAAAACUCAUUUGCAAAACCAUUGGAGCCCUCUUUUUGUGGUUUUUUGCAAAUUAUCAAAUGCAAAACUGAUUUGGAGAGGAUAUGAGGGAGAUGGAAAAAAAUGGCACGAGAAGAUCUACAGUGGUAGCAAUCAAUCAAUCAACGACAAAAAAGUCGAAAUUUUUCACAAAAAUGGAUGGAAACAAAAGGAGAGCGUGCUUCACGUUACGGUCCUUUCUUAGGGGGUAUUUGGUUGGGAAAGUAAAGUUUAACGGAUAUUGUAGUAUUUUCAUUUUAUUUAUUAAUUAUUGUUCAAUCAUGAGCUAAUUAGAUUUAAAAGAUUCGUCUUGCAAAUUACUCUCUAGCUAUGUUUUUAGUUUUAUAAAUAAUAUAUAUUUGGUACUUUAUUUAUACAUGUAUCCAAACAUUCGAUAUAAUUGAAAGUUAAAGUUUAACUUGUGAAACCAAAGAAGGACUUAUUUUCUUUAAAAAAAGGGCCUUAAUUAUUCUCCAUCGAUAUAGGCCUUGUUUAGUUUUCAAAAAAUUUUGCAAAAUUUUUCAGAUUUUCCGUCACAUCGAAUCUUUAGACACAUGCAUAAAGUAUUAAAUAUAGACAAAAAUAAAAACUAAUUACACAGUUUGGUCGAAAUUGACGAGACGAAUCUUUUGAGCCUAGUUAGUCCAUAAUUGGACAAUAUUUGUCAAAUACAAACGAAAAAGCUACAGUGUCGAUUUUGCAAAAUAUUUUGGAACUAAACAAGGCCAUAGCUGGACUAAUUUAGAAAGGUAGCCCGAUUGGGAAACGUGACAAACGUCUACGCGCGUGUGGAGCCAAAUAAAUAGAGGCGUACAAACGUGAGUACGUGACCGACUGGAGUGCACUGCACAGAGGAGUGCCAACGUUACGUUACUCACAGACACAGCCGGUCGGCAACAUAUCAUGGCGAGGAUUCUCCAGGUUGUGGCGCCGCUCCUCCUCCUCCUGCUCCCCGCUGGCCUGCGGGAGCUCCUCUCGCCCACGACGACGAUCGACCCCCGGCCGCCGCCGGCAGGUGCUGCCGACGGCGGAACAACAACCGGCGGCGGCGAGGCCCUCCUCCACCCGCUGGUGCUGGUGCCCGGGCUGACCUGCAACGAGCUGGAGGCGCGGCUCACGGACGCCUACCGCCCCUCCGUGCCGCGGUGCGGCGCGAUGAAGGGGAAGGGCUGGUUCGGGCUCUGGGCCAACUGCUCCGACCUGCCCGCGCACCACUACGUGCAGUGCUUCCUCGAGCAGAUGACCCUCGUCUACGACCCCG